This 1142-nucleotide long non-coding RNA is filed under the name Nicotiana benthamiana. RNAcentral describes it as "long non-coding RNA (NBEN_LNC007980)". Lineage: Eukaryota; Viridiplantae; Streptophyta; Magnoliopsida; Solanales; Solanaceae. The record is from RNAcentral.
UAACAAUUCCAAUGGGGCAAAAUAGCAAGCAAAGAGACACAGAAUGGCGCGUUUCAAUAUCAUUGUGCAAACCAUCAUGAUAUACCUGCCUGCUUGAAAGAAAAAAAACAGCAUUAAAAUAAUGGUCAGUCUGGAAGAGAGCAACUUCUACAGCAAAUUCAAACUAAGCUCAACGGCUUGGCUGGGGAAGGGAGAUUCAGGUGGUCUUUUUGAGGGCACGUUUAUCAUAUCUACAAAGCAUAUCAUCUUGCUCAAUUCAAGAAGAAAAUAAAAGAUGCAAUUUUUGCAGUUCUAUAUUGGAGUAUUUGGCCUAGGAAAAAGUGAUCAAUUUUUCAUAGGGGUAUUGAAUAGAGGGACCUGCUUCCUUUUCCACAUCCCAAAAGAGAGAAAGCAUACAACUAUUGCACAAACAUACGCAGCCGAGAGAGAGAGAGAGAGAGAGAGAGAGAGAGAGAGAGAGAGAGAGAGAGAGAGAGCUUGCAGCAAAAAGAUCUACAGCCAAUAGGUGAAUCCAUGCAGAUGCUAAUGUCAUCUCACUGGAAAACAUCUUUGCUAUACCAGGCAGCUGAACAGAAUGAAAUAUCAAAAAUCCGAACCACAACAUCAGCACAAGAUAACAAGUGGAGUAUCAUCUGUUGAGCACAAGAACAAACCUCUGGAAGCCAGUAUUUACUAGCAAACAUCAGCCGAAUUGUAUCUGGUGUCCAUGAGAGGUAUAAUAGAAACCCGUACAGAAGUCCAAGCACAACAUAUAGUAUGGUGCUUUUCAUCAAUUUUCUGGUCUGCAUUAAUUAUUUAAUCAAGCCUUAACGCAAUACAACAACAACCCAGUAUAAUCCCACUUAGUGGGGUCUGGGGAGGGUAGUGUGUACGCAGACCUUACCCCUACCCUUGGGUAGAGAGUAGGAAAUAAGUAAAUUUUCUAGGAAAUAAGUAAAUUUUCUCAACAUUCUUAAUUUAAAACUUGCAUGCUCUUAUUAACCCAAUUUCAGUAUCUUGCAAUUAGAUGACAGAUCAAUGCAACUGCAACCAUGCUCCAGCAGUUCUACUUCAAUGCAUGACAUAAUGAGAGAACUUGGACCAAGAGCUUUUUAAGCUGAUGAUAUAACCACAGAGUUUAAGAUGAAAAAACAAAAUUGCUU